This 1798-nucleotide ribosomal RNA is filed under the name Shigella flexneri 2a. RNAcentral's name for it is "partial 23S ribosomal RNA". It matches the Rfam family "Bacterial large subunit ribosomal RNA", at positions 1 to 1815 of the family's 2925-position model. Lineage: Bacteria; Pseudomonadati; Pseudomonadota; Gammaproteobacteria; Enterobacterales; Enterobacteriaceae. The record is from RNAcentral.
GGGUUGUGAGGUUAAGCGACUAAGCGUACACGGUGGAUGCCCUGGCAGUCAGAGGCGAUGAAGGACGUGCUAAUCUGCGAUAAGCGUCGGUAAGGUGAUAUGAACCGUUAUAACCGGCGAUUUCCGAAUGGGGAAACCCAGUGUGAUUCGUCACACUAUCAUUAACUGAAUCCAUAGGUUAAUGAGGCGAACCGGGGGAACUGAAACAUCUAAGUACCCCGAGGAAAAGAAAUCAACCGAGAUUCCCCCAGUAGCGGCGAGCGAACGGGGAGCAGCCCAGAGCCUGAAUCAGUGUGUGUGUUAGUGGAAGCGUCUGGAAAGGCGUGCGAUACAGGGUGACAGCCCCGUACACAAAAAUGCACAUACUGUGAGCUCGAUGAGUAGGGCGGGACACGUGGUAUCCUGUCUGAAUAUGGGGGGACCAUCCUCCAAGGCUAAAUACUCCUGACUGACCGAUAGUGAACCAGUACCGUGAGGGAAAGGCGAAAAGAACCCCGGCGAGGGGAGUGAAAAAGAACCUGAAACCGUGUACGUACAAGCAGUGGGAGCACGCUUAGGCGUGUGACUGCGUACCUUUUGUAUAAUGGGUCAGCGACUUAUAUUCUGUAGCAAGGUUAACCGAAUAGGGGAGCCGAAGGGAAACCGAGUCUUAACUGGGCGUUAAGUUGCAGGGUAUAGACCCGAAACCCGGUGAUCUAGCCAUGGGCAGGUUGAAGGUUGGGUAACACUAACUGGAGGACCGAACCGACUAAUGUUGAAAAAUUAGCGGAUGACUUGUGGCUGGGGGUGAAAGGCCAAUCAAACCGGGAGAUAGCUGGUUCUCCCCGAAAGCUAUUUAGGUAGCGCCUCGUGAAUUCAUCUCCGGGGGUAGAGCACUGUUUCGGCAAGGGGGUCAUCCCGACUUACCAACCCGAUGCAAACUGCGAAUACCGGAGAAUGUUAUCACGGGAGACACACGGCGGGUGCUAACGUCCGUCGUGAAGAGGGAAACAACCCAGACCGCCAGCUAAGGUCCCAAAGUCAUGGUUAAGUGGGAAACGAUGUGGGAAGGCCCAGACAGCCAGGAUGUUGGCUUAGAAGCAGCCAUCAUUUAAAGAAAGCGUAAUAGCUCACUGGUCGAGUCGGCCUGCGCGGAAGAUGUAACGGGGCUAAACCAUGCACCGAAGCUGCGGCAGCGACGCUUAUGCGUUGUUGGGUAGGGGAGCGUUCUGUAAGCCUGUGAAGGUGUGCUGUGAGGUAUGCUGGAGGUAUCAGAAGUGCGAAUGCUGACAUAAGUAACGAUAAAGCGGGUGAAAAGCCCGCUCGCCGGAAGACCAAGGGUUCCUGUCCAACGUUAAUCGGGGCAGGGUGAGUCGACCCCUAAGGCGAGGCCGAAAGGCGUAGUCGAUGGGAAACAGGUUAAUAUUCCUGUACUUGGUGUUACUGCGAAGGGGGGACGGAGAAGGCUAUGUUGGCCGGGCGACGGUUGUCCCGGUUUAAGCGUGUAGGCUGGUUUUCCAGGCAAAUCCGGAAAAUCAAGGCCGAGGCGUGAUGACGAGGCACUACGGUGCUGAAGCAACAAAUGCCCUGCUUCCAGGAAAAGCCUCUAAGCAUCAGGUAACAUCAAAUCGUACCCCAAACCGACACAGGUGGUCAGGUAGAGAAUACCAAGGCGCUUGAGAGAACUCGGGUGAAGGAACUAGGCAAAAUGGUGCCGUAACUUCGGGAGAAGGCACGCUGAUACGUAGGUGAAGCGACUUGCUCGUGGAGCUGAAAUCAGUCGAAGAUACCAGCUGGCUGCAACUGUUUAUUAAAAACA